RNAcentral lists this transfer RNA (72 nucleotides) under Bos taurus (domestic cattle). It matches the Rfam family "tRNA". From Rfam's summary of the family: Transfer RNA (tRNA) molecules are approximately 80 nucleotides in length. Lineage: Eukaryota; Metazoa; Chordata; Mammalia; Artiodactyla; Bovidae. RNAcentral also lists the same sequence under 3 other names. The record is from Rfam by way of RNAcentral.
UCCCUAGUGGCUCAGAGGUUAAAGCAUCUGCCUGCAAUGCGGGAGACCUGGGUUUGAUCCCUGGGUUGGGAA